RNAcentral lists this ribosomal RNA (468 nucleotides) under uncultured bacterium. Its description in RNAcentral is "partial 16S ribosomal RNA". It matches the Rfam family "Bacterial small subunit ribosomal RNA", at positions 28 to 507 of the family's 1533-position model. The record is from RNAcentral.
GACGAACGCUGGCGGCGUGCUUAACACAUGCAAGUCGAACGGAAAGGCCCUGCUUUUGUGUGGUGCUCGAUUGGCGAACGGGUGAGUAACACGUGAGUAACCUGCCCUUUACUUUGGGAUAACUUCAGGAAACUGGGUAUAAUACCCGAUAGGAGCUCCUGCUGCAUGGUGGGGGUUGGAAAGUUUCGGCGGUUUGGGCUGGACUCGCUGCUUAUCAGCUUGUUUGUGGGGUAGUUGCUUACCAAGGCUUUGACGGGUAGCCGGCCUGAGAGCGUGAACGGGCACAUUGGGACUACGAGACGGAGCAGAAUCGUACGGGAGGCAGCAGUGGGGAGUAUUGCACAAUGGGGGGACGUGUGAUGCAGAAACCCCGGGUGCGGGAUGACGGCUUUCGGGUUGUAAACAGAUUUCGACUGUGACGAAGCGUGAGUGACGGUAAUGGGUCAAGAAGCACCGGCUAACUACGUG